Long non-coding RNA from Hemicordylus capensis (graceful crag lizard), 157 nucleotides. RefSeq lists it as uncharacterized. NCBI's taxonomy places the organism in Eukaryota, Metazoa, Chordata, Lepidosauria, Squamata, Cordylidae. The record is from RefSeq and is a predicted model, not a curated record. The transcript is spliced from 2 exons.
GGAGGCGCGAGACUGCCUUUGCCAGACCUUCCGAUUCCCGGAUGUUUUGUGGUUCCAAGGCAUCCUGCUCCUGAACCUGAAGGAUUCAUCAAUGUCCACUACUAAUAUUUUAGUAUUCUAUCUUAUAAUGCAAUAAAUCGUGAUAGAUUUUAAGGUU